UAGAGAAGUCAAUGAUGUACCUAACAUGUCUGAACCUGUCUGAAGCAUCUCAGUGAUGUAAUCUGUGUGGUUCUGAGACUUCUCUGCUA
Small nucleolar RNA from Erinaceus europaeus (western European hedgehog), 89 nucleotides. RefSeq annotates it as small nucleolar RNA SNORD91 family. The record is from RefSeq and is a predicted model, not a curated record. NCBI's taxonomy places the organism in Eukaryota, Metazoa, Chordata, Mammalia, Eulipotyphla, Erinaceidae. The transcript has a single exon.